This 51-nucleotide non-coding RNA is filed under the name unclassified sequences. The record is from RNAcentral.
GGUUGGAGUUUAAGGCUUUCAAGAAUUGUUCUUUGGUUUGGGUUGCCAAAG